RNAcentral lists this ribosomal RNA (496 nucleotides) under uncultured bacterium. Its description in RNAcentral is "partial 16S ribosomal RNA". It matches the Rfam family "Bacterial small subunit ribosomal RNA", at positions 28 to 507 of the family's 1533-position model. The record is from RNAcentral.
GAUGAACGCUGGCGGCGUGCCUAAUACAUGCAAGUCGAGCGAACAGAUGAGGAGCUUGCUCCUCUGACGUUAGCGGCGGACGGGUGAGUAACACGUGGAUAACCUACCUAUAAGACUGGGAUAACUUCGGGAAACCGGAGCUAAUACCGGAUAAUAUAUUGAACCGCAUGGUUCAAUAGUGAAAGACGGUUUUGCUGUCACUUAUAGAUGGAUCCGCGCCGCAUUAGCUAGUUGGUAAGGUACGGCUUACCAAGGGAACGAAGCGUAGCCGACCUGAGAGGGUGAUCGGCCACACUGGAACUGAGACACGGUCCAGACUCCUACGGGAGGCAGCAGUAGGGAAUCUUCCGCAAUGGGCGAAAGCCUGACGGAGCAACGCCGCGUGAGUGAUGAAGGUCUUCGGAUCGUAAAACUCUGUUAUUAGGGAAGAACAAAUGUGUAAGUAACUAUGCACGUCUUGACGGUACCUAAUCAGAAAGCCACGGCUAACUACGUG